RNAcentral lists this transfer RNA (73 nucleotides) under Paramuricea clavata. It matches the Rfam family "tRNA". From Rfam's summary of the family: Transfer RNA (tRNA) molecules are approximately 80 nucleotides in length. Their secondary structure includes four short double-helical elements and three loops (D, anti-codon, and T loops). The record is from Rfam by way of RNAcentral. Lineage: Eukaryota; Metazoa; Cnidaria; Anthozoa; Malacalcyonacea; Plexauridae.
GACCGCGUAGCUCAGCUGGAAGAGCAUUGGGCUAGUAUUCCAAAGGUCGUAGGUUCGAAUCCCACUGUGGCCG